UACGUAGGGGGCAAGCGUUGUCCGGAUUUAUUGGGCGUAAAGAGCGUGUAGGCGGCCAGGUAGGUCUGCUGUGAAAACUCGAGGCUCAACCUCGAGACGUCGGCGGAAACCAUCUGGCUAGAGUCCGGAAGAGGAGAGUGGAAUUCCUGGUGUAGCGGUGAAAUGCGCAGAUAUCAGGAAGAACACCCGUGGCGAAGGCGGCUCUCUGGGACGGUACUGACGCUGAGACGCGAAAGCGUGGGUAGCAAACAGG
This 253-nucleotide ribosomal RNA is filed under the name uncultured bacterium. Its description in RNAcentral is "partial 16S ribosomal RNA". It matches the Rfam family "Bacterial small subunit ribosomal RNA", at positions 524 to 776 of the family's 1533-position model. The record is from RNAcentral.